This 460-nucleotide ribosomal RNA is filed under the name uncultured bacterium. Its description in RNAcentral is "partial 16S ribosomal RNA". It matches the Rfam family "Bacterial small subunit ribosomal RNA", at positions 338 to 795 of the family's 1533-position model. The record is from RNAcentral.
CCUACGGGAGGCAGCAGUGAGGAAUAUUGGUCAAUGGACGAAAGUCUGAACCAGCCAUGCCGCGUGCAGGAAGACGGCUCUAUGAGUUGUAAACUGCUUUUGUACAAGGGUAAACCUGAAUACGUGUAUUCAGCUGAAAGUACUGUACGAAUAAGGAUCGGCUAACUCCGUGCCCGCAGACGCGGUAAUACGGAGGAUCCAAGCGUUAUCCGGAUUUGUUGGGUUUAAAGGGUGCGUAGGCGGAUUGAUAAGUUAGAGGUGAAAUGUCCGGGCUCAACUCGGGAACUGCCUCUAAUACUGUUGAUCUAGAGAGUAGGUGCGGUAGGCGGAAUGUAUGGUGUAGCGGUGAAAUGCUUAGAGAUCAUACAGAACACCGAUUGCGAAGGCAGCUUACCAAUCUAUAUCUGACGUUGAGGCACGAAAGCGUGGGGAGCAAACAGGAUUAGAUACCCCAGUAGUC